AAUCUCGUGUCCCCACUGCACAUGGGUGCCUGUAGCAAGGAGCUGGGACACCAGGCCACCUCUGCUGACCCUGCAUAGAAAGGAAGAAGCAAAUAACCAGGGCCUGAUAUUUUAAAGUUGUUUUAAUGCAGUAGGGAUAGUAAACUGAGAAACUGGUCCUUCCUACUGAGGGUGAUCAGAGCGAGAUCUUCCAUAUCUGUACACGCAGGGAAACUGAUGCAAAACCACUGCAACGAGUUUUUUUUGGCAGCCAGCAAGGCUGAUGACUGGGCAGGCGGCCGUGCCCGUUGGUGCUGGUGUGAGCUGCCUCAGGGCAGGGGCUGCCCACAGGACACCCGUUUGCAUCAGCCUGAGAGACUGGCACCAGCCCCGGGCCUUCUUGGGAGAACAUCUUUGGUGGACUAUCAACAGAGCCCAGAUUUAAGGGCUUACGCCGAAAAUACUGUUUAUCAUAGAGUAACACGAUGCAUUUACCUCGUUUCCAUUGCAGGAUCAGGAGCCUAGAGGAACCAGCAGGAAUCCCCCGGCACAUCUGAUGCUGCUCUGGGCAAGGGAGGUACGCUCACUUUUAGCGAGGAACAUGGGCAGUGUUUUCAGAAAACAGCUGCUGCAAGAACAAACGCGAUUGUCUGAGUGCCUCGUCGAGAAACGUAUUUCUCCUCUAGCCACAGGGUGGUGCUUUUGCCCUCUUUAUAGCCUGGCAGUACAGCAAAAAUAGCUCGGGAACUGUUGACGAAAGUCUUUAAUUUUAGAAGAAUCAUUAGGGAUCAAAGCAGUUGUCCUUAGGCUCCGCAGAGCCCCCCGCCGCGCGGUGCGGUACCGGGCCGAGGCGCUUGCCCGGGCUGUGCCGGCAGGCCGGGGCUCGGCAGGGCUCGCAGGCCGCACUCCGCCUGGCGCUGGGUGCUGGUCACCGGGGUGCUGGUCACCGCCGUGCAGGCUUUCUGUGCAAACAACAAGUAAAGCGACUCCGAAUCCUCGCAGCUUGCUCCAUGUGGGAAAGUCUGUCGGGAUUUCCUGGUGACUCAGCCCAGGACACUGGAGUACCUACACCAGCGCCGUCAUUUCCUAUUCAGCUCCAGAGGAGUUUCAGGCACCGAGGCACAAGCCCAGCAAUCCCGUGCCUUGUCCUUUGGCAGCAGUGUGCGGUGCUGCACUGGAGCAAGAGCCGCUUGUGGCCAUGCUCAGACUCGCUCAGCACGGGGUGCAAGGACUCCCUGAGAGCCUGGCUGCUCCACGGCCACAGGGACAAGUCCUGGUGGGAGCAGACCCCCACGGUGUGCCCCUUCCCCGCCGUGACCACCGGCCCUGAGCCAGCCCCACACCAGAGGUCUGCCAGUGUGGAAGGAGCUGAUGACCCCAGGGACAGAUUUUUAAGAAUGCUUUAAAGGAUCUUGGAACACAAGACCUGUUGCAAGGCAUAUUCACUACAGCGUGGAGAUGAGCUUGAAAAUCCUUGUUGAGGCCUGUCCCAAGGACUAGCAAAUCACACAGUUGUGACUGAGGAACGGUUGUCCUU
Molecule: long non-coding RNA, 1516 nt
Organism: Cygnus olor (mute swan)
Lineage: Eukaryota; Metazoa; Chordata; Aves; Anseriformes; Anatidae
Exons: 3
Source: RefSeq, a predicted model, not a curated record